AAAGGUCCUGCAGGGCCUAUACAUUAUUUGAGUGCUGUAGAGAGUCUUCUAGAAGCCGAAGGCAGUAAGUGUGUCUUUGAAGCGCUUCUGCUGCCCUCCGUGAGCCCUUCUUCCCUGACUUAACUGAGAGAAGAGUACUUGCUUCUGGAGGUGAGUGUCAGGCAUACGUACACAGUGGCCAGCCCAGCGAAGUUGAUGUUUCAUGACCUACUCUUCUAUACUGCUGAUGUUGGCUGCAGAGAGAAUGCUGAUGUUAGUGCGUCGCUCUUUCCAGCUGAUCCUGAGAAUCCUUCUGGGGCAGCACUGUUGGAACCACUCCCGCCGCUUGAAAUGUCAUCUGUAGGUUAGCCAGUUCUAACAACCAUAAAGAAGGGUGGAGAUGAGAACUGUCUUGUAAACCAAGAUCCUGUUUGUAGAUCCUAAUCAUUGAAGACUCGUUUGAGUAGUCUUCCAAAGGAUGUGCUGGCACAGUGGAUCCUGUAUUCAAUUUCUUUGUCAAUGCUGGCUGUGACGUUCUGUACCUUGAGGGAACACCCUAUACCCCCAUGUUUAUCCUUAUAAUGUGAUUGUGUGGUAUCUAAUGCAAAGUUUGUCAUGUUGGGUGUCUUCGGAAGGCACAUGAUGCACUGAGCAUUGUUGUUAUAGUAAUGUUAUAGGUUGUAAUUUCAUGUAUAUAUUUAUGAGGCUGAAAAUGUGUCCUCAUGGCUUAAAAUAAGCCCAGGCAAAAACUCUCCAAGAGCAGAGGGGCAGUUCACACCUCGUCAGGGCAUGUAUGGGACAAACCCAGCCCAGCCUCACAGGAACAAUGGACACUGGCCUAGGCAGAAACAAAGGAUCUGUUGGACUCUAGAGUGAGUCACCCCCCUUCCUUUGGUCAGUUUGGGACUACGAUGAGGUAAUGCUCACCUGACUCUGAAGCGGGAGCGGGGGGCAAAGCCAAGAGGGAAGAAAGAACAUGAUAAAAGGGAGAGACAUUUGCCAUGCUCUUCCUCUCUCACUUCCAUCUCCAUCUACCGACACCACCACCAAGCGACUGAAGCGCUGAUCAAAGGGGAGAGCCUGGCUGAAGGGCAACCAGCCAGCCUGUGGUGAGAAGCAUCUAAGUUUGUAAGGACAUUGAAAGUAUUAAGAUCAGCUUAGAAUGUGUUUUGCUUUUAUUUCAUUUGACCAAAUCUGACUUGUUAUGCUUUGACUUAUAAUCAUUUAAAAUUUAUCUUUGUAGUUAAUAAAUCUGUUUGUUUAUUC
Emys orbicularis (European pond turtle) is the source of this 1245-nucleotide long non-coding RNA. RefSeq lists it as uncharacterized. The record is from RefSeq and is a predicted model, not a curated record. Lineage: Eukaryota; Metazoa; Chordata; Testudines; Emydidae. The transcript has 2 exons.